UUACCGCGAAAGGCCACCUCGGCAGCGACAGCGCGGGAGGGAGGUGAAGGUCGGCCUGGUUUUCAGCACUCCCGGGCUGGGCAAGAGAGUCAAAGAAGAGUGAAGAGAGUGUGAGACCGGGCCGUGGCCUCGCGGUCUAGCCGCUCUCCCUCCUAGACCUGCCCCGCUUGUUUGGAUUUAAUCUUCAGGUUGCCGGCGCCCGCCCGCCGGCCUCGCGGAGUGAGGGGAAGCGCUCGCGCCUGUGUCUGGCGCCUGCCGAGUCCGGACACCCGCCCGUCCUCUUCGCUUGCCCGCGGCAGCCGCGUCCCUGAACCGCGGGGUCGUGUUUGUGUUUGACCCGCGGGCGCCGGCAGUGGGGCGCGCGGCCGAGGCCAGUGCCGGCGGGGCGGGGCGGGCGCGGCAGAGGCGGAGGAAGAGGGAGCAGAAUCCCUGGGAGGCAGGGCGCCGCCAUGGAACUGGGCCCGGAGCCCCCGCACCGCCGCCGCCUGCUCUUCGCCUGCAGCCCCCCUCCCGCACCGCAGCCCGUCGUGAAGGCGCUGUUCAGCACGCCAGCCGCCGGGGGCCUGUCGCCUGUCACCAGCCUGACGGUCACCAUGGACCAGCUGCAGGGACUGGGCAGUGAGUAUGAACAGCCCCUGGAGGUGAGGAAUAGCUGUCUGCAGAGAAUGGGCUCCUCCGAAUCAACUGAUUCAGGCUUCUGUCUGGAUUCUCCUGGGCCCUUGGAUAGUAAAGAAAACCUUGAAAAUCCCAUGAGGAGAAUAAAUUCUCUGCCUCAGAAGCUCUUGGGGUGUAGCCCAGCUCUGAAGAGGAGCCAUUCUGAUUCUCUUGACCAUGAUGUCUUUCAGCUAAUUGACCAGGAUGAGAACAAGGAAAACGAAGCCUUUGAGUUUAAGAAGCCAGUAAGACCUGCAUCUCGAGGUUGCCUGCAUGCUCAUGGACUGCAGGAGGGUAAAGAUCUCUUCACACAGAGGCAGAACUCUGCCCCAGCUCGGAUGCUUUCCUCAAAUGAAAGAGAUGGCAGUGAACCAGGGCAUUUCACUCCUUUUUUUAUGCCCCACUCCCCUGUGACUGCCACUUUGUCUGAUGAGGAUGAUGGCUUCAUGGAUCUUCUCGAUGGAGAGAAUCUGAAGAAUGAUGAAGAGACCCCGUCCUGCAUGGCAAGCCUCUGGACAGCUCCCCUUGUCAUGAGAAGAACUACAAACCUGGGCAAUCGUUGCAAGCUGUUUGACUCCCCUUCCACGUGUAGCUCCACCAUCCCGUCAACGUUGAAAAGACCAGACCGAUCGCAAGAGGAGUCCCCACGUGGAAAUAGGAAGCGGAGGAAGAGCGUGGCUGGGGCCAGUCCCGAAGAGGCAGCUAGUCCAAAGAAGCCCCAGGAGAUUCUACAUCAGUCUUUAUGCCUGGUGUCUUCCCCAAAAGGGACCAUUGAGAAUAUUUUGGAUAAUGACCCAAGGGACCUUAUAGGAGACUUCUCCAAGUGUUACCUCUUUCAUACAGUUGCUGGAAAGCAUCAGGAUUUAAAAUACAUCUCUCCAGAAAUUAUAGCGUCUGUUUUGAGUGGCAAGUUUGCCAACCUCAUUAAAGAGUUUGUUAUCAUUGACUGCCGAUACCCAUAUGAAUAUGAGGGAGGCCACAUCAAGGGUGCAGUGAACUUGCACAUGGAAGAGGAGGUUGAAGACUUCUUACUCAAGAAGCCCAUCGUACCUACGGAUGGCAAGCGUGUCAUCGUGGUGUUCCACUGCGAGUUUUCUUCUGAGCGAGGCCCUCGCAUGUGCCGAUAUGUGAGAGAGAGAGAUCGGCUUGGUAAUGAGUACCCCAAACUCCAUUACCCGGAGCUAUAUGUCCUGAAGGGCGGAUAUAAGGAGUUCUUCCUGAAAUGCCAGGAUUGAGCAACAUACCAAAGGAGGGACCACUGUAAAGGAGAUAGGAGUUUCAGUUGUGUUCUGAAGGAGCCAGAGAGGAUACUGCAGAAGGAAAUCAGGCAGAUGGGCUUCUCCGAAUCCUUCACCUGCGGCACACAUUUCAGGAGAGGAGAGAGCAUUUUACAAACCUAUUUACCCACAGAGCCCUUCUUCCAUGGAGCUGGGUUCCUGAGGACUGGUUUUGUGGACGCUGGUUUCUCUCCUGUGUGGCUAUUCUCGCUAGAUUCUCAUGAGGUGGGGUUGCCUCCAUUUCAGGGAUGCAGACACUCGUGCUCAUCGAUGGGUGAGUCACUUUCACUUACUUGGCCACCAAACAGCAGAGGUGGGAGUAGACGUUUGUGCUUCAGGUUCCAAGUCCAAGACUUUUUCCUGACUUUCUCCUACUACGUCCAAGCCCCCUUCCUAAGACCAUCAGUUCUGGAUCUGGGCUUCAGCUUCUUGAGCCCAGAAGCCACCUCUGGGUGAUUGCAACAUUGCUGAAUUCCUGUGAGACUUAAUUUCCUAAUUUAUGCAGGAAGCCCCACUUUCCCUCUCUUUCCUGGGCUCGUGAUGGGUCCUAAACAAAUGGUUCUGAAGAAAGGGAGAAGUUGGGACCACUUGAUUUAAGUUUGAAGAGGGAAGUAAAUUGCGCCUGCACCUGGGCGGAGGACACCUCCUGGCCACUCAUGUUACAAGGAUGCCAGGUCUCUCCCUGUACACGCACAGGUGUUUUGUUUUCCUGAGCCCCAGUUCUAGAUGAGUUAAUGCUGUGAUUCAGUUGAGGUUCCGUCUCAGCAAUUCUGAGCCUGGGAGACACCCUGUCUCUCCCCUACUCCCUGCCCCACACCUACCCUGCACCUGGAAGGCGAGGGCAGCUGGGCUGGUGGAAGCUGGGGCUCCUCACCUGCCUGGCAUUUGCCGGCACCCAAACAACUGGGUUGGGGGGGGGGGAAGCAUGACAAGCCUUGGCAGCUGCCGAGCUACCCAGGCAGGUAGGGAAGGAGGCCAUUGGGGGCUGAAACAGGGUGUGGCGACAGGUCUAACUAAGAGCUGCAAGUCCUGCCCAGACAUCCGGCUGUCUCGGGAGGCCGGGUGUGCUGACAAGUGUGGGCUGACCCGGAGCCCAGGCCACUGGGCACCUGAUGAGCAGUGCUGGGUGAGGGAAUGGGUGGAUGGAAAGCUCACAUUCAUUAUCUGCAAAAUGCGGAUAAUAGCCGGGUGGUUUCAGAAUGAAAUGACAAUACAUAUAAGGAACUUAGAAUAGUUCCAGCAAGUACUCAAAAAUGCCAGGUCUGACUGUGGUGAGCCCAACACAGAGGGUCCAGUUGGUUCAUCUCUUAUCCUCCACAGAACUCAAAAACAACAGACAAAAUCAAGAGAGCAACAAAAAUCACCUAACACCGAGUCUUCAGGAAACCCCAUAAUGGAGUGCAUUUUGUAGAUGGGUAAACAGUCCUGGAAGGGCUGUGAGUCACCACAGAUAACACCUGAGGCUGGCACAUAGCAAGAGGACCUGGUCCAUACCCCGGCUCAGGCAGAGCUGGUUCCUUCCCUCCCUCCACCCUCUCCUUAAAUCCAACACCUUGGAGAAGGCUGCUGAGGCAGGAGAAGCUGAGGUUCACACAGGAAAACACGGCCCUGAGAGGUGGGGCGGCGCCGACAUUCCUUCCUUCACCAGACCCGUCCUCACUCCUGAGCCCACCUCCCACUGCCCUCUCCACUUACCGCCCGCCCUCCGUGGGGUCACCUAGGCCUCUCCUACUCCAGGAAGUCUUCCCCCAACCCUGACUCAGCUGCCUGCGGGGCUCUGGCGGCACUCCCACGCUGGGCGGCCCCAUGGAAGUGGAGGGGUCUUCCUCUUCUGAAUGACUUUGGUGAACCAGAGAGACUGGGAGUUACUUCCUGAGGUGUUGGCCAAAGCCAGGAGUCAACCAAAAGAAUUCUUUACAGAAAGCUUCAUCCAACAGCUAUCACUGAGCACCUGCCAGGCACCAGGCAUGUGGGCCCUGCCACUGAGAAGCCUUGGUGUGGGUGUUUCUUGACAGGUGGCUCAUUCAGGGUGUUGAGUGUGGUGACCUUGACAGCACUAUGGUGGCCCAGAGUACGGACCAGGUUUCAGGUCUUAAGAUCAGAAGAGUGAACUCUUUAAUAAGCUCCAACUUGCUUCCUUCCGUGUAAGGGGGUCCUCACCCUCAAGGAGCUGCUAUGGCUCUGCCAAGUUCCCUUCUGCCCUGCGCCCUCCUUGGACAGGGCUUAUACCGUAGAAAAACCAUGGCUCUGUCGUGUCUGCCCCUGUAAAACGUGCACCUUGCGUGAUGUGGAGAAAACGCCUGUAAGCCACUGGGCACAGAGGAGGCACUCCAUACACAGCUUUAUUUCUCAGCCCAAAUGUUCAUUUUCCUUUCAAAUGCAAAAUGCCUCCACUUCCCAAGCAGUUUGGUCUCUGUCUGAAGGUCACAGCAAGGUCUCACGUUCCGGUUUGCCCUGCUGGCCUUUCCUGCCUGCUUCCUGCCUCCUGUGCAUCCUCAGAGAGCCUCAGUGAUUUGCCUGUUCACAGCUCUGUGUUCCUGAACUCUGUUCCCUCGCGUGAAACACCUUUCCUUCCCCUGCUUUGCCAAUCCUUUUCACUGGGUUGGGUCCUCCUCCCCAGCAUUCUCAGGCCCCCCAGGCAGCAUUCAUCAGCUCUUCCUCUGCUCUCCCAAAGGCUUUUCCAUGCGCUUAUUUCAUGUUUACCUUAGCUGCCAUUUCUCUUAUUCUCUUUGUGUUUCUCUGGCUCUCCCUCUUCUCAACAGAGUUGGCCUUAGAGAAACUGAGCUGGGUAGAGGAGUUGUGUACUUUUUAGGGUAUCAUAGGGUAUCAGAGCAUGGAGAACGGGAUCACCCCUGGAGCCCAUAGCUCAGCUGGACGCAGUUUGUGGAAUGCUCAGGGUCAGACUCGAUGACUGCCCCGAAGCUGGUGUCCAGGAAGGAGCUGCAUCGGGCCUCUCAUUAUUGAGGUUCCCACCUCGCCUGGGAGUGGCCACAUGCCAGUGAAUCCUGCCCCUGCACGUGGGUGGGGCAAGGCCAGGAGGCUGUGUGUCUCUGAGCCUGUGCAGCAUGAGGCCUCCUUGGCCAGGAAUCCGUCUGAAUACCUUUGGCCAUCAGAAGUCUUGGAUCCUGGCCCUAAGCCCCUGUAGAGGCACUGAGGCUCUGCUGGAAGGAUUCCUUACUCUUUAAUUAGGCUAAACAUAUAUAGGUCUCCCCAGCCACCCAGAUUCAGUUUCAGGCCAGGACACAGUACACGUGGAUUCUCUUUGGCUUCCCAGAACCUUUGAACAUUCUCCUGUGCUGUGGACUCCCCCACUCUGAGUCCCACUCCUUCAGGUAGAAGCCAGACCUAAGCUUUAUCAGCAUCUUUACAGCUGCGGCACCACCUGGGCCCUGGGCCCUGCCCCAUUGUUGGCAGCUGAGAACCCAGAUGGACACAGGCAUCAUCCAGAUGCCAUACUGUGUUCUGGGCAGACUCCUGGUGUCCGGAGAUAAAUCAGAACAAGCAACUCUAAUAGAGCCCCGGGGAAAAGACUACAAUGAGGGGAGGUGUCCUGAGUUCUGGGAGCAGAGACUAUGGAGACUGGCAGGGAGAGGCCCCGUCUUACUCAUUUAUUAAUGACCCUGUCCUUCUGGCAGUGAGGUGUCCUAUAAAGUAAACUGGAUUGAAUGUCUGAAAACAUGAGUUGGGGGGCUUCCCUUGUGGUCCAGUGAGUAAGACUCCAAGCUCCCAAUGCAGGGGGCCUGGGUUCGAUCCCCG
Aethalodelphis obliquidens (Pacific white-sided dolphin) is the source of this 5687-nucleotide RNA transcript. It is a transcript of the gene named cell division cycle 25A, with no coding region annotated. The transcript has 16 exons. The record is from RefSeq and is a predicted model, not a curated record. Lineage: Eukaryota; Metazoa; Chordata; Mammalia; Artiodactyla; Delphinidae.